UCCCCCUCUGUCCAACUAGCAGUCUCUUAAAUGAUACUGAAAGACUUGAAUUAUUGUCCUGUAUGGGGGGGGGGGGGGGGAGAAAGGAAGCAGGUGAAUUGUUCUGGAGCUGCUUUAAACAAAACAAGUGAAAUGCAUACAAAAACAUGGAGAACGGUAACAAGGACAGAAAUACAGUAUUUGUUUCUGAUGCGUUUUUGUGUACUCUAUGGCUCAGAUUGUUGGAGUAUCAGGUAGUGCUGAGUCUUCUGAAUGCAGGUGAGCCGAUGUUGGCGUUCUCUAGGCAACUGGUCAGUACCCCCAGGUGAGGCUAUGGCUGCUGUAUGGCAGUAACGGGGUACUGCAGCCACAUCCCUUUGGUUAUACUUCAGCAGCUGGGAAGAUAAAUGAGUCCUGCACAACUAUAGAUCAACUGCAGGAUGAUAAUUUUAAUUUAAUGUUUACACGUGUUUUUAACGUUCCCCUUAUUGUAAUGUGUUUUCAGCAAAGCUGGAAGAUGUUGCAAAUACAGCAUUGGGGUGUUGUUUCUAAAUUGAUUUAAUUAGAUCUGGUGUGAUUAGUGCUGUUAAUGUCAGCAUGUUUCAGAGGAUGGAGGGUUCUUAAUUCAGGUUGGCUUCCUUUGUAUUCUCUUAAUUUGAAGUUGUGGGAAUAUAUUUUAUAUUUUCCGAACACAUCUGUCACAUCUUACCUUGGUGGUGAUAGCAUAUCAUACCGCACCGUGUUCCUAUCCUUCUGUAGCUACACUAAUGUCUCCUCGACAGUACUGCACAGAGGCUUUUGUUCCUAGUGCAGCGAGCAAGCUCCUGCCCGGCUCAGACGCCUCGUGCUCAGCCUUCCACCUCUGCAGCCCAUGGAAAUUUCCCUCCUGUUACGUUGUGGCCAGGUUGCAGCUAACCGUAUAUCCGUUUUCAGGGUCAGAGGAAGAGUGCAAGACAAUCCUUUCUGCAUCUGUGCAGCAAGAAAGCAUUUUUGCAGGCUGGAAGGGAAGGGGCUGUAAUGCGGUAGGAAGCAGCGAUCACUUUAGGGAAGGCAAGGAGCUGCACAAAAUACGUCUUUUUGAAGAAAAUGGGACACGAGUUACAGCCUUAUGAACUGCUUUGGAAUACAGGUGCUUCCUUUACAAUCUCUAAAGAAGUUACUUCUGGGAGCAAAAACCUUAUUUCUUCUCUGUGACACUUUGUUGUUCGGCUUCCUUGAAGGAGCCGUUUAAGGCGCUGAUUGUUUCUGAUGGUGAUAGCAGUUGCUGCAGUCUCAGUGAAAUAUGACUGUGGUUUGAAGAUGAAUAUACGGCAUAAAUUAUAGCACGAGUAACUUUCCAGUGAUGUGUUGGGCUUCACCCUUGUUUCACAAAGGCACAUAAGCAACUCUAUACUGCUGUUUUGAGUUGGCAUUACAACCGAGUACUCAUCUUUUCUUA
RNAcentral lists this long non-coding RNA (1417 nucleotides) under Numida meleagris (helmeted guineafowl). RNAcentral describes it as "lncRNA (ENSNMEG00000018367.1)". Lineage: Eukaryota; Metazoa; Chordata; Aves; Galliformes; Numididae. The record is from RNAcentral.